AUUACUUCCUGGGUUGGCCACUAAUAAUUCUGGAGUGUUUACAACAGCAACUUAUGGGAUACCCGAGUGUCCUCCAUUAAAUAUUUGACAUUUUACCCUAGCAACUAAUGGUACCCAAGUCAGAAAGAGCAAAUUUUCUGGAGUAUAAGGAUGAAGAUAGAAGGUUACAGCCAGUGGCCAUCCACAUUAGAUAGUCUGUGGACCAGAGACCUCUCUUCUAGGACUUCAGUUUUUGAUUUGAAACACUGUUGCUCAAGAACCUUCCUUUUCAUUCUGACCGAAGAAUUAUAUAUAAUCAUUAUUUAUUGCAUUCAGCUGGGUUGAGUACGUUGCCCUGACCAGUCAGAGGACAAUGAAGUAAUAACUUCAUUACUUAUUUUGAGAGAAGACCAUCAAGGAGUUUCAUCAAAAUGUUGUCAAGAGGAUUGCCACCAGUCCCAGUUUUCUCCGAACCACCAUGAGGCUCUCAGAAUUUUAAACAUAUUUUUCCCCCCUCGGAACCAAACGUCACUGCUUCCUUGGAAAAACGUCCCAUGUAAACACUGUGGUUUCACUGUCAUGAGCUGCACUUGGGAAGCUGGGUGAGCUGUGCCAGUUUUUUUUAACUGGUUGAGGAAUCCCAAUUUAACUGAUGGAAUUAGGAUAUAGGUUUUCUGCAGUUGUUUCUAAUGUACAAGAUGCUGACUUUGAUGGAAUUUGCAUUUGUAUAUUUGUAAUCUUAUAACAGAGAAAAUGUAUAUAAAGAUGUUUUAAUAUGUAUGUAGUUUUUCAAUAAAUCCAGUGCCUGGAGGGCACGAUUUGGUGUCCAG
RNAcentral lists this long non-coding RNA (809 nucleotides) under Bos taurus (domestic cattle). RNAcentral describes it as "long non-coding RNA NONBTAT019054". Lineage: Eukaryota; Metazoa; Chordata; Mammalia; Artiodactyla; Bovidae. The record is from RNAcentral.